Molecule: small nuclear RNA, 22 nt
Filed under: Arabidopsis thaliana (thale cress)
Lineage: Eukaryota; Viridiplantae; Streptophyta; Magnoliopsida; Brassicales; Brassicaceae
Description: snRNA_05537
Source: RNAcentral
CAGUAACUCACCACAAGACCAU